UGGGGAAUUUUGGACAAUGGGGGAAACCCUGAUCCAGCCAUCCCGCGUGUGCGAUGAAGGCCUUCGGGUUGUAAAGCACUUUUGGCAGGAAAGAAACGUCGCGGGUUAAUACCCCGCGAAACUGACGGUACCUGCAGAAUAAGCACCGGCUAACUACGUGCCAGCAGCCGCGGUAAUACGUAGGGUGCAAGCGUUAAUCGGAAUUACUGGGCGUAAAGCGUGCGCAGGCGGUUCGGAAAGAAAGAUGUGAAAUCCCAGAGCUUAACUUUGGAACUGCAUUUUUAACUACCGGGCUAGAGUGUGUCAGAGGGAGGUGGAAUUCCGCGUGUAGCAGUGAAAUGCGUAGAUAUGCGGAGGAACACCGAUGGCGAAGGCAGCCUCCUGGGAUAACACUGACGCUCAUGCACGAAAGCGUGGGGAGCAAACAGGAUUAGAUACCCCUGGUAGUCCACGCCCUAAACGAUGUCAACUAGCUGUUGGGGCCUUCGGCCUUGGUAGCGCAGCUAACGCGUGAAGUUGACCGCCUGGGGAGUACGGUCGCAAGAUU
Molecule: ribosomal RNA, 547 nt
Filed under: uncultured bacterium
Lineage: Bacteria
Description: partial 16S ribosomal RNA
Rfam family: Bacterial small subunit ribosomal RNA
Source: RNAcentral